This 862-nucleotide long non-coding RNA is filed under the name Crocodylus porosus (Australian saltwater crocodile). RNAcentral describes it as "lncRNA (ENSCPRG00005005506.1)". Lineage: Eukaryota; Metazoa; Chordata; Crocodylia; Crocodylidae. The record is from RNAcentral.
CUACUUGGAUCAUGCUAGGCCUGGCCACUUCCCAGUGAAGCCAGUGGGAUGUGAAUGUAGCCAACUGACCUUGAUUGUGAACUGAAAAACAAGCAUUUCUCUUAAGUAACCUCUCAGGUAUUUAAAGAAUUUCUCAAACGCGACUACGAGAUAUACCAAAUCCUCUUCAUAUGUGAGGGGAAAAAGAAAAGUUCCUGUUAGCCCAGCAACAGUAGGAACAUGGACUAUUGUGAUGUGUUGUGGUCUGAACUUCAGAGCGGGAAGGAAGACCGGACCCAAAAAGUUUCUCAGAUUCGUCGGCUCAUAUUCAGGAAUAGGAUGCAAACACUAGAAGUGGUGUUUUCUAACCAAUGGAGAGGAAAUCGUUGCUGUGGACCAUGAUGAAGUUUGGAAGGGGUGUGACAGCGUGGCUUUCUGGCAGGCUCGUUAACAGAACCCCCUUUUUCACUUUGUAAAAUAAGACUUUGCCCAAAGAUGACCUAGGACCUUCUCUUUGCAGACUGUAUACAAGUUAAGUGUAAUCUUUAAUUGCUGGUUUCAAUAGGCCUUGGCUGGAGAGGGGUGCUCUCAUCAUGUUACAUGUAUAAUGUGCCCACUUCACACAAGUGAUAAGCGGACUGUUAUGGCACAUGGAGAAAUCCUUGGAGGGGUUCAAUCCCCGGACAAUACAGCUGAUGCUGUGGAGGUGACGGGGAAGUAAACAGGUUCAUGCGAGUCAUUUAGUUUCCCUAAUCUCCUCCACUCAUGCCUACUGGUGGUGUAGUAGUGUGUGCUAUGUGAAUGGGAAUAUUUUCUUAGCUGUAUCAGUGCUCUCAUGAUAGACACUUGAUGAGCUUAAAUAAAAUAUAUUAGUGGAUUUUCA